GAUGAACGCUGGCGGCGUGCCUAAUACAUGCAAGUCGAGCGAACAGACGAGGAGCUUGCUCCUCUGACGUUAGCGGCGGACGGGUGAGUAACACGUGGAUAACCUACCUAUAAGACUGGGAUAACUUCGGGAAACCGGAGCUAAUACCGGAUAAUAUAUUGAACCGCAUGGUUCAAUAGUGAAAGACGGUUUUGCUGUCACUUAUAGAUGGAUCCGCGCCGCAUUAGCUAGUUGGUAAGGUAACGGCUUACCAAGGCAACGAUGCGUAGCCGACCUGAGAGGGGGGCCGCCCAAACUGGGACGGAGACAGGGACCAGACCCCUGGGGGAGGAGGAAGAGGGGAGUCUCCCGCAGGGGGGAAAGGCCUGCGGGGGCAACGCGGGGGGAGUAAUAAGGUUUUUGGGAUCAAAAACCUGUUUUAUGGGGAAAAAAAAAAUUUGAAAGUAACUAGGCAGUUUUGGAGGUUCCAUAACAAAAAACCCACGGCUAAUUAGGGG
Molecule: ribosomal RNA, 497 nt
Filed under: uncultured bacterium
Lineage: Bacteria
Description: partial 16S ribosomal RNA
Rfam family: Bacterial small subunit ribosomal RNA
Source: RNAcentral